Molecule: long non-coding RNA, 945 nt
Filed under: Mytilus galloprovincialis (Mediterranean mussel)
Lineage: Eukaryota; Metazoa; Mollusca; Bivalvia; Mytilida; Mytilidae
Source: RNAcentral
GUCAACUUCACAAAUAAUACACGAUGGUUUUGAAUUAUAUAGAUUCUGUGCACUAACGUUGUUCUUCAUCUUAAUAAAUUGUUAUAGUCUUUUUUUAUUUGUAAUUUUGAAUAUUCAUUAUACUGUUUAGUUCAUUUUAGUGAUAUCCAUUAGAGGUGGCUCUGUAUUUAUACAUCCCGUCAUGGUGUUAUUAUGCUAUGGUAAACAUUUGUAUUCUUAUCUUUCAUUUUUGCUUAAUUUUCUUUAUAUCUAUGCGUUUUUGAGUUUCGUUGUUACGUAAGACGUAACAAUACUUUUACAGUUUAGCCUUUUUUUUUGGUGAUAUCCAUUUGAGGUGGCUCUGUAUUUAUACAUCCCAUCAUUGUGUUAUUGUGCUUUUUUGUAAUCGUGUCUUUUAUUUUUGUUUAUGUGCGUUAUCUAUAAAUCUUGUUUUGUGUUUGUUACAUAUGACGUGGCUCUGCACUUAUACAUCCCAUCAUUGUGUUAUAGUACAUUUAUGUAUUCGUGUCUUUGAUGUAUGCUAAUGUGCUUUGACUAUAUGCCUUUUUUCAGUUCCUGUGUUAUUUAUUUAUUUGUUUGUUUUAUAAUGAUUAAGACUAUAACACAAUGUUGACUGCUGUAGCCCAUAUUUUUACAUUUUUACCUGUUGAGUCUGUUGAUUUCUUCUCACUAUUGUCAAUAUAAUUGAAUUUUAUGCGGCUGUCAUCCAAGUGAGCGGUUUAGCUAGCUAUAAAUCCAGAUUAAAUCCACAUUUUUUUUGUUAUUCAUUCGUUUGAUGUGUUUGAGAUUUUGAUUUUUCCAUUUCAUUAGGGACCUUCCGUUUUGAAUUUUCCUUGGAGUUCGGUAUUUAUUUUAUUAAAAUUUUUAGUAUCACAAGUAAUAAAUAUGACAAUUGGCAUAGGUGCAUCAAAUUAGUUUGUUUUCAAACGAAAUAUUACUAUCCUU